CAUGCCGAUCCCCUGCGCUCCAUCUCCGAUUUUAUCUUCCUAGAUGCCGGUUCUGACCUCCUCUUCCUUUCCAUCUCCCCCUCCUGCAUAAUUCACCUUCCUCUCCCUGCAGAAAGAGAAAAAGGUCUUCCUCCUCUGCCUAGGGAUAGGCCCUAUUUUCAAUCAAUAUAUGUCCAAAAGGAAAAGAUCCCUUCCUUCAAUCGAUCUGUUGGAGAUGAGUAUGAUCCGGCAACAAAUAUUCCUCUGAUUGAUCCAUCACUCCAGCAAUAUGGCGGAGAAGGAACCUGUGAACAUCGCUUACUCUCCAUCCAGAUUGGACCAGGCUUACAGAAAUAAUAUCUCUGCCGCGGCCUUAGUUCGCACACAACAUGAUCGGUACGUCGUCAAGGCCUUGAUUCAAUAAUCAGUAAAAUAUCCAGGUUGGAAUCCCCAAUUCGAUCAUCUAGCACCCUCUAAUGGGAUCAGUUUGUUAGAGGUGCAUGUUCAAGUCGAUCAAGGAUGCCUUCUAUGUGUGCAACUUGCCGGACAAUUUCCGUGUAGGAUCACGUUGAUAUUGAAUAAAGCCAUCCUGCAUUGGCAAAGUUCAUAAGUCGACGCUGCAGACAGAUCUCUAUUGUGCAUUUGUUAACAGUUGGAUGAAAGCAAUAUGUCUUACCUGCACUUAUGUAGGUACUAGCACAUCUAGCUGGAAUCGAUUAACCUACUUGGGAAGUCAGAUGGGUUAUUACAUGUACAUGUGGCAUUCUUUGCAGAUCGAAUUUUCCUAGCCGUCGUGCUUCCGCUCUUUCUCUCUCCACUACUCCCGUCCUGCUCCUUCCAUCUUUACUACUAUUAAUAAAUCAAUGUUCCUACUC
Molecule: long non-coding RNA, 854 nt
Organism: Triticum aestivum (bread wheat)
Lineage: Eukaryota; Viridiplantae; Streptophyta; Magnoliopsida; Poales; Poaceae
Exons: 2
Source: RefSeq, a predicted model, not a curated record